CUUUUAGAGAACUUUUAGGCAAAGUUGCGCAAGGUCACGAAAACAUCGCCUUCUGCGUGUGUGUUUUAUAGAAAAUAAUAACGUUUGAAGUCACCGUUAUGGAGACGUUGCAAGAAAAAAAAAAAAAAAAAAAGAUGUUGAUUCAAUCAUCAGAGUGUCCUGGUUUACUGAUCUUCUCUGGAGACUGAACUCUGUGUAUUAACUGAAGAGCUGGCAGUACACAGUUUGUCCUGGGCCUCCUCCCCUCUGUCACAGCGAAUGAGAGACGCCUGGCUUACGCCCCCUAACCUGGAAAAUAUUUCCCACCUUUUCCAUGAGUACAUUGACUCCUUGUUCUGUUCUCUGGAAAUGACAGGGCAUUUAGUACAGUACUCACUUAAAUUGCUAAUAUUUUUAGCCAAUAUAAUAAUUUUAAUGAAACUAAAAUAAAAUGAUUAUUUUAUACACUAUAUCAUAUUUAUUAAUAUGUGACAUUCUUUAGACAAACAUGUUGCUAUGACAACUGCACAUGACUACAGCAAGAAUCUACUAUCCCUGCCUUAUUGGUCCAAAACACAAAAAUGUCAAGAGUUUGAGGAAAAUGAUAAAACAUUGAUUGUAAAGUCUAUGGAGUCUAUGAAGAGAAAAAAAAUAGCUGUAUUACAAAUAAAUCAAAUCCUCAA
Molecule: long non-coding RNA, 662 nt
Organism: Megalobrama amblycephala (Wuchang bream)
Lineage: Eukaryota; Metazoa; Chordata; Actinopteri; Cypriniformes; Xenocyprididae
Exons: 3
Source: RefSeq, a predicted model, not a curated record